This 74-nucleotide transfer RNA is filed under the name Stephanometra indica. RNAcentral's name for it is "tRNA-Met". Lineage: Eukaryota; Metazoa; Echinodermata; Crinoidea; Comatulida; Stephanometridae. The record is from RNAcentral.
AAUAAAGUAAGCUAAUAGAAUAAGCUUUUAGGCUCAUGUCCUAAGAAUGGAAGGAUAAAAACCUCCCUUUAUUU